CUGCCUGUUCAGAAAUAGUGUUGUGGAAAAGGGUGAUGAUGCUGCUAUGGUUUAUGGUCUGAUGCUGCUAUGGUUUAUGGUCUGAUGCUGCUAUGGCUUAUGGUCUGAUGCUGCUAUGGUUUAUGGUCUGAUGCUGCUAUGGUUUAUGGUCUGAUGCUGCUAUGGUUUAUGGUCUGAUGCUGCUAUGGUUUAUGGUCUGAUGCUGCUAUGGUUUAUGGUCUGAUGCUGCUAUGGUUUAUGGUCUGAUGCUGCUAUGGUUUAUGGUCUGAUGCUGUUAUGGCUUAUGGUCUGAUGCUGCUAUGGCUUAUGGUCUGAUGCUGCUAUGGUUUAUGGUCUGAUGCUGCUAUGGUUUAUGGUCUGAUGCUGCUAUGGCUUAUGGUCUGAUGCUGCUAUGGCUUAUGGUCUGAUGCUGCUAUGGCUUAUGGUCUGAUGCUGCUAUGGUUUGUGGUCUGAUGCUGCUAUGGCUUAUGGUCUGAUGCUGCUAUGGUUUAUGGUCUGAUGCUGCUAUGGUUUAUGGUCUGAUGCUGCUAUGGUUUAUGGUCUGAUGCUGCUAUGGCUUAUGGUCUGAUGCUGCUAUGGUUUAUGGUCUGAUGCUGCUAUGGCUUAUGGUCUGAUGCUGCUAUGGCUUAUGGUCUGAUGCUGCUAUGGCUUAUGGUCUAAUAUGAUUUGUUUACAGUAUACACACAUGAAUUAACAACAUGAUGCGGUGACGCGAGGUGAUUAAAGCAUAAUUAUAUUACUCAAUGAAAAAUAUUACAAUGAAUUAAAUAAAACAGAGAAGUGAGGUCAAGUACUGGCCCGAGGCAUCAGGAAAGAUAUGAUGACGAUGACUAAGGAGAGAGAGAGAGGGAUGGAGAGGAGGAGAACGACAGGCAGAGAGAGAGACGAGGGCCACAGGAACCAGAGACAUUUUGGGCCAGUUCUGGGCCCUUCGACUGGAGGACCCUGACCGUCUCCUCUGACACUGGGCCGACAGAUCACUAACGGUCUGACCUGUGAC
This 1000-nucleotide long non-coding RNA is filed under the name Salmo salar (Atlantic salmon). Its description in RNAcentral is "lncRNA (ENSSSAG00000110380.1)". Lineage: Eukaryota; Metazoa; Chordata; Actinopteri; Salmoniformes; Salmonidae. The record is from RNAcentral.